RNAcentral lists this ribosomal RNA (905 nucleotides) under uncultured bacterium. RNAcentral describes it as "bacterial SSU rRNA". It matches the Rfam family "Bacterial small subunit ribosomal RNA", at positions 28 to 941 of the family's 1533-position model. The record is from RNAcentral.
GAUGAACGCUAGCGGCAGGCUUAACACAUGCAAGUCGAGGGGUAGGGUAGCAAUAUCUGAGACCGGCGCACGGGUGCGUAACGCGUAUGCAAUCUACCUUUCACAAAGGAAUAGCCCAGAGAAAUUUGGAUUAAUGCCUUAUAGUAUAACGAGUUCGCAUGGAUUUGUUAUUAAAGAUUUAUCGGUGAAAGAUGAGCAUGCGUCCCAUUAGCUAGAUGGUAAGGUAACGGCUUACCAUGGCUACGAUGGGUAGGGGUCCUGAGAGGGAGAUCCCCCACACUGGUACUGAGACACGGACCAGACUCCUACGGGAGGCAGCAGUGAGGAAUAUUGGUCAAUGGGCGCAAGCCUGAACCAGCCAUGCCGCGUGCAGGAUGACGGUCCUAUGGAUUGUAAACUGCUUUUAUACAGGAAGAAACACUCGGACGUGUCCGAGCUUGACGGUACUGUAGGAAUAAGGAUCGGCUAACUCCGUGCCAGCAGCCGCGGUAAUACGGAGGAUCCAAGCGUUAUCCGGAAUCAUUGGGUUUAAAGGGUCCGUAGGCGGCUUAAUAAGUCAGUGGUGAAAUCCCUACGCUUAACGUAGGAACGGCCAUUGAUACUGUUAGGCUUGAAUUAUUAGGAAGUAACUAGAAUAUGUAGUGUAGCGGUGAAAUGCUUAGAGAUUACAUGGAAUACCAAUUGCGAAGGCAGGUUACUACUAAUGGAUUGACGCUGAUGGACGAAAGCGUGGGUAGCGAACAGGAUUAGAUACCCUGGUAGUCCACGCCGUAAACGAUGGAUACUAGCUGUUGGGAGCAAUCUCAGUGGCUAAGCGAAAGUGAUAAGUAUCCCACCUGGGGAGUACGUUCGCAAGAAUGAAACUCAAAGGAAUUGACGGGGGCCCGCACAAGCGGUGGAGCAUG